UACGUAGGGUGCAAGCGUUAAUCGGAAUUACUGGGCGUAAAGCGUGCGCAGGCGGUGAUGUAAGACAGGUGUGAAAUCCCCGGGCUUAACCUGGGAACUGCAGUCGAGACUGUCUAGCUAGAGUAUGGGAGAGGGAAGUGGAAUUUCAGGUGUAGCGGUGAAAUGCGUAGAUAUCUGAGGGAACAUCAGUGGCGAAAGCGACUUCCUGGACCAAUACUGACGCUCAUGUGCGAAAGCGUGGGGAGCAAACAGG
RNAcentral lists this ribosomal RNA (253 nucleotides) under uncultured bacterium. RNAcentral describes it as "partial 16S ribosomal RNA". It matches the Rfam family "Bacterial small subunit ribosomal RNA", at positions 524 to 776 of the family's 1533-position model. The record is from RNAcentral.